UACAGAGGGUGCGAGCGUUGUUCGGAAUUAUUGGGCGUAAAGGGCGCGUAGGCGGCGCCACAAGUCACUUGUGAAAACUCAGGGCUCAACCCUGAAACUGCACUCGAUACUGCUCUGCUUGAGGACUGGAGAGGAGACUGGAAUUCACGGUGUAGCAGUGAAAUGCGUAGAGAUCGUGAGGAAGACCAGUGGCGAAGGCGGGUCUCUGGACAGUUCCUGACGCUGAGGCGCGAAGGCCAGGGGAGCAAACGGG
RNAcentral lists this ribosomal RNA (253 nucleotides) under uncultured prokaryote. RNAcentral's name for it is "partial 16S ribosomal RNA". It matches the Rfam family "Bacterial small subunit ribosomal RNA", at positions 524 to 776 of the family's 1533-position model. The record is from RNAcentral.